Molecule: transfer RNA, 66 nt
Filed under: Ictidomys tridecemlineatus (thirteen-lined ground squirrel)
Lineage: Eukaryota; Metazoa; Chordata; Mammalia; Rodentia; Sciuridae
Description: Spermophilus tridecemlineatus (thirteen-lined ground squirrel) tRNA
Rfam family: tRNA
About the family: Transfer RNA (tRNA) molecules are approximately 80 nucleotides in length. Their secondary structure includes four short double-helical elements and three loops (D, anti-codon, and T loops). Further hydrogen bonds mediate the characteristic L-shaped molecular structure. tRNAs have two regions of fundamental functional importance: the anti-codon, which is responsible for specific mRNA codon recognition, and the 3' end, to which the tRNAs corresponding amino acid is attached (by aminoacyl-tRNA synthetases). tRNAs cope with the degeneracy of the genetic code in two manners: having more than one tRNA (with a specific anti-codon) for a particular amino acid; and 'wobble' base-pairing, i.e. permitting non-standard base-pairing at the 3rd anti-codon position.
Source: Rfam by way of RNAcentral
GCUGGGGUGGCUCAGUGGUAGAGCACUUGCCUAGCACAUGAGAGGCAUUGGGUUCCAUCCCCAGUG